RNAcentral lists this ribosomal RNA (253 nucleotides) under uncultured bacterium. Its description in RNAcentral is "partial 16S ribosomal RNA". It matches the Rfam family "Bacterial small subunit ribosomal RNA", at positions 524 to 776 of the family's 1533-position model. The record is from RNAcentral.
UACGUAGGGGGCAAGCGUUAUCCGGAUUUACUGGGUGUAAAGGGAGCGCAGACGGCAGUGCAAGUCUGGAGUGAAAGCCCGGGGCCCAACCCCGGAGCUGCUUUGGAAACUGUGCGGCUCGAGUGCGGGAGAGGUAGGCGGAAUUCCUAGUGUAGCGGUGAGAUGCGUAGAUAUUAGGAGGAACACCAGUGGCGAAGGCGGCUUACUGGACCGUAACUGACGUUGAGGCUCGAAAGCGUGGGGAGCAAACAGG